GCAGUGCUGGGUAAGUGGUAGAAUUCUUGUCUUGCGUACAGGCAACCCAGGUUCAAUUCCUGGCCAGUGCC
RNAcentral lists this transfer RNA (71 nucleotides) under Loxodonta africana (African savanna elephant). It matches the Rfam family "tRNA". From Rfam's summary of the family: Transfer RNA (tRNA) molecules are approximately 80 nucleotides in length. Their secondary structure includes four short double-helical elements and three loops (D, anti-codon, and T loops). The record is from Rfam by way of RNAcentral. Lineage: Eukaryota; Metazoa; Chordata; Mammalia; Proboscidea; Elephantidae.